RNAcentral lists this ribosomal RNA (457 nucleotides) under uncultured bacterium. Its description in RNAcentral is "SSU rRNA". It matches the Rfam family "Bacterial small subunit ribosomal RNA", at positions 26 to 518 of the family's 1533-position model. The record is from RNAcentral.
AGAAUCAACGCUGGCGGCGUGCCUAACACAUGCAAGUCGAACGAGAAAGUGGAGCAAUCCAUGAGUAAAGUGGCGCACGGGUGAGUAACACGUGACUAACCUACCCUUGAGUGGGGGAUAACCUAGAGAAAUCUGGGCUAAUACCGCAUAAUACCUUCGGGUCAAAGGAGCAAUUCGCUUAAGGAGGGGGUCGCGGCCGAUUAGUUAGUUGGCGGGGUAAUGGCCCACCAAGACUAUGAUCGGUAUCCGGCCUGAGAGGGCGCACGGACACACUGGAACUGAAACACGGUCCAGACUCCUACGGGAGGCAGCAGUGGGAAUUUGCGCAAUGGGGGAAACCCUGACGCAGCAACGCCGCGUGGAGGAUGAAGUCCCUUGGGACGUAAACUCCUUUCGAUCGGGACGAUAAUGACGGUACCGAGAGAAGAGCCCCGGCUAACUUCGCGCCAGCAGCCGC